AUUGAACGCUGGCGGCGUGCUUAACACAUGCAAGUCGAACGCGAAAGGGGCUUCGGCCCUGAGUAAAGUGGCGCACGGGUGAGUAACACGUGGAUAAUCUGCCCUUAUGAUCGGGAUAACAGUCGGAAACGGCUGCUAAUACCGGAUACGCUCAAAAUGAACUUUUUGAGGAAAGGUGACCUCUGCUUGCAAGUUACCGCAUGAGGAUGAGUCCGCGUCCCAUUAGCUUGUUGGUGGGGUAAUGGCCUACCAAGGAAACGAUGGGUAGACGAUUUGAGAGGAUGAUCGGCCACACUGAGAAUGAAACACGGCCCAGACUCCGACGGGAGGCAGCAGUGGGGAAUAUUGCGCAAUGGGCGAAAGCCUGACGCAGCGACGCCGCGUGAGGGAUGAAGGUUUUCGGAUCGUAAACCUCUGUCAGAAGGGAAGAAACCGAACUGUGCUAAUCAGCAGUGCCUUGACGGUACCUUCAAAGGAAGCACCGGCUAACUCCGUGCCAGCAGCCGCAGUAA
This 512-nucleotide ribosomal RNA is filed under the name uncultured bacterium. Its description in RNAcentral is "partial 16S ribosomal RNA". It matches the Rfam family "Bacterial small subunit ribosomal RNA", at positions 30 to 523 of the family's 1533-position model. The record is from RNAcentral.